GAAUCCUGAAUUCGAAAGGGAUUGGAUUCAAAUCCUACCGUGCGAAUGGGAUGUCACUGCCAGAUGGCGCUGGUCGCCCGCGGCGAUUUAUUUCGUUUGCGGUGUCGUUCCCGGCGAUCACUCGGCCCAGAGAUGUUAACCCGUCGCCGGAGGAGUGCACUUCCUCCCUAGUAGAAACGUCGCGACCCGUUGGGUGCCGGUCCAAGGCCCGGGACGGCAGCCCGCGUGUCCUGUGGGGGAUCUCACAGGCGUGCGGACUCCCGGUGCCCCGGCCGGCUGCUCGACGGUAGGACCAGAGGAGCCGAUCCGCUGAUAGUGAAACACUUUGGUUGUGUAGCGUCCGGCCCGGCGCCGAGUCGUGCGGGGAUUGAGGUGUAAACCGGGGGUGCCCGUGCGAAGCACGGCCCCGGCCCCGCUGCGUCUCCGGAUGUUCGGUGUCCUCGGACUGGAUCAGCACUCCCGUCUGCGACGCCCACCUUCGGAUGGUCUCCCG
This 493-nucleotide ribosomal RNA is filed under the name Necroscia randolfae. Its description in RNAcentral is "partial large subunit ribosomal RNA". Lineage: Eukaryota; Metazoa; Arthropoda; Insecta; Phasmatodea; Lonchodidae. The record is from RNAcentral.